This 99-nucleotide transfer RNA is filed under the name Myxococcales bacterium. RNAcentral describes it as "tRNA-Sec". It matches the Rfam family "Selenocysteine transfer RNA". The record is from RNAcentral. Lineage: Bacteria; Pseudomonadati; Myxococcota; Myxococcia; Myxococcales.
GGAGGCGCUCCCGGAGCUGGUGCCCGGCUCGAACUUCAAAUUCGAUGGGGGUCGCGGCGACGCGGGCCCGGGGGGUUCGAUUCCCCUGCGCUUCCGCCA